UCACCUUCAACCCUACCUACUGACCUCUCUGCUGGCUUGCUCUCUUCCUGCCUACCCCCAGAAUUCCCCUCUCCCUCCCUAGAUCUCACCCCCAGGAUGUUGCGGAGGCUGCUGGAGCGGCCUUGCACGCUGGCCCUGCUUGUGGGCUCCCAGCUGGCUGUCAUGAUGUACCUGUCACUGGGGGGCUUCCGAAGUCUCAGUGCCCUAUUUGGCCGAGAUCAGGGGCCGACAUUUGACUAUUCUCACCCUCGUGAUGUCUACAGUAACCUCAGUCACCUGCCUGGGGCCCCAGGGGGUCCUCCAGCUCCUCAAGGUCUGCCCUACUGUCCAGAACGAUCUCCUCUCUUAGUGGGUCCUGUGUCGGUGUCCUUUAGCCCAGUGCCAUCACUGGCAGAGAUUGUGGAGCGGAAUCCCCGGGUAGAACCAGGGGGCCGGUACCGCCCUGCAGGUUGUGAGCCCCGCUCCCGAACAGCCAUCAUUGUGCCUCAUCGUGCCCGGGAGCACCACCUGCGCCUGCUGCUCUACCACCUGCACCCCUUCUUGCAGCGCCAGCAGCUUGCUUAUGGCAUCUAUGUCAUCCACCAGGCUGGAAAUGGAACAUUUAACAGGGCAAAACUGUUGAACGUUGGGGUGCGAGAGGCCCUGCGUGAUGAAGAGUGGGACUGCCUGUUCUUGCACGAUGUGGACCUCUUGCCAGAAAAUGACCACAAUCUGUAUGUGUGUGACCCCCGGGGACCCCGCCAUGUUGCCGUUGCUAUGAACAAGUUUGGAUACAG
RNAcentral lists this small RNA (776 nucleotides) under Pan troglodytes (chimpanzee). Its description in RNAcentral is "processed transcript". Lineage: Eukaryota; Metazoa; Chordata; Mammalia; Primates; Hominidae. The record is from RNAcentral.